RNAcentral lists this ribosomal RNA (464 nucleotides) under uncultured Bacteroidales bacterium. Its description in RNAcentral is "bacterial SSU rRNA". It matches the Rfam family "Bacterial small subunit ribosomal RNA", at positions 335 to 795 of the family's 1533-position model. The record is from RNAcentral. Lineage: Bacteria; Pseudomonadati; Bacteroidota; Bacteroidia; Bacteroidales.
CACCCUACGGGUGGCAGCAGUAAGGAAUAUUGGGCAAUGGACGCAAGUCUGACCCAGCCAUGCCGCGUGAAGGAUGACGGCCCUAUGGGUUGUAAACUUCUUUUGUACGGGAAAAAACCCCUGAUCGUGUAUCGGGGCUGAUGGUACCGUAAGAAUAAGCAUCGGCUAACUCCGUGCCAGCAGCCGCGGUAAUACGGAGGAUGCAAGCGUUAUCCGGAUUCAUUGGGUUUAAAGGGUGCGUAGGCGGGAUGAUAAGUCAGUGGUGAAAUCCUACAGCUUAACUGUAGAACUGCCAUUGAUACUGUCAACCUUGAGUACAUUUGAAGUGGGCGGAAUGUGUCAUGUAGCGGUGAAAUGCUUAGAUAUGACACAGAACACCGAUAGCGAAGGCAGCUCACUAAACUGUUACUGACGCUGAGGCACGAAAGCGUGGGGAUCAAACAGGAUUAGAUACCCCUGUAGUC